RNAcentral lists this ribosomal RNA (477 nucleotides) under uncultured bacterium. RNAcentral describes it as "partial 16S ribosomal RNA". It matches the Rfam family "Bacterial small subunit ribosomal RNA", at positions 28 to 505 of the family's 1533-position model. The record is from RNAcentral.
GAUGAACGCUAGCGGGAGGCCUAACACAUGCAAGCCGAGCGGUAUUGUUUCUUCGGAAAUGAGAGAGCGGCGUACGGGUGCGUAACACGUGUGCAACCUGCCUUUAUCUGGGGGAUAGCCUUUCGAAAGGAAGAUUAAUACUCCAUAAUAUAUUGAACGGCAUCGUUUAAUAUUGAAAGCUCCGGCGGAUAGAGAUGGGCACGCGCAAGAUUAGCUAGUUGGUGAGGUAACGGCUCACCAAGGCGAUGAUCUUUAGGGGGCCUGAGAGGGUGAUCCCCCACACUGGUACUGAGACACGGACCAGACUCCUACGGGAGGCAGCAGUGAGGAAUAUUGGUCAAUGGGUGCAAGCCUGAACCAGCCAUCCCGCGUGAAGGACGACUGCCCUAUGGGUUGUAAACUUCUUUUGUAUAGGGAUAAACCUACCCUCGAGAGGGUAGCUGAAGGUACUAUACGAAUAAGCACCGGCUAACUCCG